GUAGGUGGCAAGCGUUGUCCGGAAUUAUUGGGCGUAAAGCGCGCGCAGGUGGUUCUUUAAGUCUGAUGUGAAAGCCCCCGGCUCAACCGGGGAGGGUCAUUGGAAACUGGGGAACUUGAGUGCAGGAGAGGAAAGUGGAAUUCCACGUGUAGCGGUGAAAUGCGUAGAUAUGUGGAGGAACACCAGUGGCGAAGGCGACUUUCUGGCCUGUAACUGACACUGAGGCGCGAAAGCGUGGGGAGCAAACAGGGAUUAGAUACCCUGGUAGUCCACGCCGUAAACGAUGAGUGCUAAGUGUUGGGGGGGUUUCCGCCCCCUCAGUGCUGCAGCUAACGCAUUAAGCACUCCGGCCCUGGGAGUACGGUCGCAAGACUG
This 375-nucleotide ribosomal RNA is filed under the name uncultured organism. RNAcentral describes it as "partial 16S ribosomal RNA". It matches the Rfam family "Bacterial small subunit ribosomal RNA", at positions 527 to 896 of the family's 1533-position model. The record is from RNAcentral.